Molecule: ribosomal RNA, 253 nt
Filed under: uncultured bacterium
Lineage: Bacteria
Description: partial 16S ribosomal RNA
Rfam family: Bacterial small subunit ribosomal RNA
Source: RNAcentral
UAUGGGGGGAGCAAGCGUUGUUCGGAUUUACUGGGCGUAAAGGGCGCGUAGGCGGUAGCACAAGUCAGUUGUGAAAUCUCCGGGCUUAACUCGGAAAGGUCAACUGAUACUGUGCGACUAGAGUGCAGAAGGGGCAACUGGAAUUCUCGGUGUAGCGGUGAAAUGCGUAGAUAUCGAGAGGAACACCUGCGGCGAAGGCGGGUUGCUGGGCUGACACUGACGCUGAGGUGCGAAAGCCAGGGGAGCGAACGGG